UGCCAGCCGCCGCGGUAAUACGGAGGGUGCAAGCGUUGUUCGGAAUUACUGGGCGUAAAGCGCGCGUAGGCGGCUUUUUAAGUCAGAUGUGAAAGUCCACGGCUCAACCGUGGAAGUGCAUUUGAAACUGGGAGGCUUGAGUAUGUAAGAGGAUAGAGGAAUUCCCGGUGUAGCGGUGAAAUGCGUAGAUAUCGGGAGGAACAUCAGUGGCGAAGGCGUCUAUCUGGUAUAAUACUGACACUGAGGAGCGAAAGCGUGGGUAGCGAACAGGAUUAGAUA
This 279-nucleotide ribosomal RNA is filed under the name uncultured bacterium. Its description in RNAcentral is "partial 16S ribosomal RNA". It matches the Rfam family "Bacterial small subunit ribosomal RNA", at positions 506 to 784 of the family's 1533-position model. The record is from RNAcentral.